AGCCAUAUCUCUAAAACCAUUUGGGAAGUUGUUUGCUAGAAAUGCAACGCAUGAUGACAUCAGUCUGUGUGAAUUUCAUUGUUUCGAGUGUUCCGGGCACAAAUAAAGGUCUCUAUUUGGUUUUUCAUUCAUCACAAAAUGAUAAAACAGAUGUUAGCAAUUCAUUUUCCCCCCCAUCGGUUGCUAACUAUCAACCUCAAUGUGGCAUGUGGCAGCAAAUGAUAGCUAGGCAUACCGCGAGUAAGCACAGCUUUCUUUUGUAAUCAAAAUAAUAUGGUCAUAAUAGCAUGUGUAUGAGCUGUGCAGUACAGCCUUUGCCUGUCACAGAAGCUGACAUUUUACAUAUGGAUAUCUUUAAUGUAUCUGAGGUGUUUGAGCUGAAUCACUUGGGGAUAUUAUAUAAAGAUGGAUAUAGAAGUGAGGUAAGCUUCUCAAGUGACAAGGGAGAUGGAGAAAGUGACUGACAACUCAGGCUAUCUGUGUAUCAUCCAACUAAACACGUAGGGGUCUUAGGACCACAAGAACCGUAUAAAUACAGAUAAUCUGAGAACACUUGACGGGUCUCAAACAGAAGACUAUUUUUAAGGUGUAGUCACAAUAACUUCCAUGGCAUUACGUACGGCCCUACAUGAGAUUGCUGAACGAAAACAACCUUCUAAACCCACUAUUGCUGGGACUGAAGCUGCAGGUAGUAAAGGCUGUCAUGCUUAUUGCUACCACAGCACCUCAGGUGAGAUCUAACAGUCAAUAGCUUGCCAAGAGGCAGAGCAAGCCCUUACAGCUGUACAGACACAGGGAUGCCUUGGCCACUGCCAGCAGACAGGAGAUGUGACUGUGAGUUUCACAGAAAGCAAUGUCGUGGUAUUCUUUUAUAUGCCUUCAAGCACCAGCAUACAGCCGUGUAACACGGCGUGGAGGUUUGUUACUGUGCAACUCUGAAUUAGCUGCUGCUGGGCCUAAGCUUAAGCUUUUACUGUGAGGACUUCCUACUUCCUUCGUCAGACACAUUCGAGGUCCUUUAUGUUGCCGGAAAACUAUAGGGGACCUCAGUCCUGGGAAUCAUAAUUGUGGCUUAUAAGCAGAGAAGAGGCUUUUUGGUUUGGACAAGCCCAUCCCUCCCUCAGCAGCCACAGCGAAAAAACCCUGUGGCUCCUUCCUCCUCAUGCAUGUGGCAGCCACAGUGGGCUGGGUUACAGUGAGGGAAGCCAUAUUGUCACAAGGCUCCUCAUGUUCCUGCCAUGGCCUUGCUUCAGGGGACAGCAAAUACGUCCUGAAGAAAGAAAGUGGGAAUAUGGAACGAGAUCCCAGCACUUUUUACAGUAACAUAUAUAUGUGACAAACAAGAAUUAAUUUAUUUUUCUUAUACCACCAGAAAGUGAAGAGAAAUGAGAGUCAGCAUCCUUGAGGAAGUUGUCAUGUUGUGAUCCAGAUAUACAAGUGGACCUGUCUUUGAUGGCAGUGGUGUCUUAUCUCCCGUGAGUUAGCAUCAGAUGAAGCUUGCUGACAGCAUAAUGGCAGGGAAAACCUCCGACGGCUCCAUCAAAUGGCAGCUCUGCUACGACAUCUCGGCCAGAACUUGGUGGAUGUAGAGCAGCCUCACACUUGUCCCACUUGUGUGCUUUCCCCUGUGUAACAGGAGACCGUUAAUGUGCACUACAGUUUCCAGAGGGAAGCUUUUUCAAUUCUCCUUAAGGGGGAAAAGAGGAAAAAAAAAAAACCUAUGCAAAGAAGUAGUUUUGCAACGCCUUGUACAGAGAAACUUGUCUCAGUCGGCUGCUUAACGCUCAGUUUGUUUUACUUUAUCUGCUGCUUUCAAGCAUUCGUGUGCGUGUGCGUUUUUUCCCAUGCGGUAUUUUGUAAAGAGGGGAGGUGGAAAGUUCAGUCCGUUACAAAGCAAGUUGCUUUCCUGUCAAAGCCUGGACCGGUGCGGGAGUGUCGUGGUGUAAAAUCAUCACGUGUGAGAGGAGCGUGUUUUGCGAGGUGCUGCCUUUCCUCGGAGACCCCGAGCUAACUUUUUCCCUCCGCCUGUUUACGUUAGAACAGGUUACCGGGCUGUGCUGACCUGGAGCCAUGUGUUACAGAUCCCGCAGAGUCUGGCUCUAGCUGCUUUUGGGCGCAAUUAAAGUUUCCCUAAAAGUCCCAACGUGCUCCGUAGAACGAGUUAACUAGCAUGUCAUGGUCAGCCGGGCCAGACAACCUUUGACAUCUUGAAUCUAUAAGAGGUAUAGUGAGUUAGGAGGAUGCACAAUAGCCCAUUGUGGCAGAAGAUGCAAGUCCUGUUGUGAGGAAGAGAGUCCUCAAAUCAUUACUGCCCUCGUUAGCGUGUUGUCCGUUAGGGAUUAAUUCGUUAGCAGCGCAUUUUUAGUUUUCUGUAAUUAUUAUUCUUGUGGCAAGCGUGAAUUCUUCCAGUGAGAGGAAAAGUUUGCUGCCAGGACAAUGAAUGUAUUAUCCGCUCCUAACUGGACCGUGAACCUCAGCUCAUUUCACAUAGAUAUCAGUUAAAAAAGGACUGGCGAGUGGAAUUACAAAACAAGGCAUGAUCACUUUCAUUGUAUGAUACGCUGAAACAAGUCGGGGGCUUUCCCUCCCCUUCGCCGCCCCGGACCAAUUUUGGUAUCAUUUGGAAAGUUUAAGACCUCUGAGGACUUGAAAGACUUUUAAAAGUGAGAUCCGGAAGGUUUUUAUUCUGCAGCUUGGUGGUGGCCAUUGUGUAUAUCAUGUGGCUUGUAUUUAAAGGUGUUUGGGCUCGGGGUUUAUCCAUUUUGUUUUGUCUAAACUCUUAAUUUUUUUUAACCGUCUAUUAGAGGUUUGCCAGCGGUUGCCAGUGAAAUGUAACAUGCAGCUUUUGGUUAAUGGCAAUAGGGAAGUCUAACCACUUUACUUAUAGUACUGAUUUUCCAAUUAGACUUUCUGCCAGGGGAAGUUGGAGGGGGAAGGGGUAUUUGCAUGCACAUAAACUGUUGAUUAUUCAUGUGACUUUUUUUUUUCUAGCUUGUUAAACCCUUGUAAAUAAGGCUAUUGAUUCUUUGUUAUCAUUUUCAAAGCGAAGUUUUCAAGUACCUGUUUUAACCACAAGAUUUAGAGCAUGCUGUGAUUUAUUUUUUGUCUUAUUCUAAGCCAUGUGUGUAUUUUAUUACCACUCCUCUUUUAUUGUCUAUCGGCUGCUUUUAUGAUGAGGUAUGUCCGUAGUUUACUAUUUCAUAAGUAUCCUCAAAUGUUACUUAGCAGUUAUUUACACCCUGUAGAAAGUGUCCGAGGAAGUUUCAUUUCAGUCACAUCUAUUUCACACAUGUUUUAGUACUGCGAAUAUAAUAUGUAAUAAUGCUGGAAACAUUUAGUAAUGCACUUGCCUAAAAAUAAACAGUUUUAUAACCACA
Molecule: long non-coding RNA, 3377 nt
Organism: Pezoporus occidentalis (night parrot)
Lineage: Eukaryota; Metazoa; Chordata; Aves; Psittaciformes; Psittacidae
Exons: 5
Source: RefSeq, a predicted model, not a curated record